UCGUUGGUGAUCACUGCUGCUUGGUUUUUUUCGACGUAGAGCUGGUUGUUUUAGCAAAGGGCCGUUUGGAACUUGGUCGUUUGGAAGGCAGUGUGGUUGUGGGGUGUUGGAGGUGGUUCGAUGGGAAUGGUUGGUGGGGAGUGAGGGCUGAAGCAGCAUGGGGGGUUGUUUGGUGAAGGAGGAACAUCAGGGGUGGUCAUUUGGG
RNAcentral lists this long non-coding RNA (205 nucleotides) under Nicotiana benthamiana. Its description in RNAcentral is "long non-coding RNA (NBEN_LNC027594)". Lineage: Eukaryota; Viridiplantae; Streptophyta; Magnoliopsida; Solanales; Solanaceae. The record is from RNAcentral.